This is a non-coding RNA of Streptomyces cellostaticus, 75 nucleotides long. It matches the Rfam family "ASpks TB sRNA". The record is from Rfam. Lineage: Bacteria; Bacillati; Actinomycetota; Actinomycetes; Kitasatosporales; Streptomycetaceae.
CUUCACCGACCCCAGCAGCAACGGCCGACCCUCCGGCCGAUCCUGACCAUACGUCGCCAGCAGCGCCUGCGCCUC